AACGAACGCUGGCGGCGUGCCUAACACAUGCAAGUCGUGCGAGAAAGUUCCUUCGGGAGCGAGUAAAGCGGCGCACGGGUGAGUAACACGUAGGUAACCUGCCCCCCAGUCUGGAACAACUAGAGGAAACUCUAGCUAAUGCCGGAUGAGACCACGAUCCCUUCGGGGGUUGCGGCCAAAGAUGGCCUCUACUUGUAAGCUAUCGCUGAGGGAUGGGCCUGCGGGCCAUUAGCUUGUUGGUGAGGUAACGGCUCACCAAGGCUGUGAUGGCUAGCUGGUCUGAGAGGAUGACCAGCCACACUGGGACUGGAGACACGGCCCAGACUCCUACGGGAGGCAGCAGUGGGAAUAUUGCGCAAGUGGGCGAAAGCCUGACGCAGCGACGCCGCGUGGGUGAUGGAA
RNAcentral lists this ribosomal RNA (402 nucleotides) under uncultured bacterium. RNAcentral describes it as "bacterial SSU rRNA". It matches the Rfam family "Bacterial small subunit ribosomal RNA", at positions 29 to 413 of the family's 1533-position model. The record is from RNAcentral.